Molecule: unclassified non-coding RNA, 240 nt
Filed under: soil metagenome
Description: partial contains 5.8S ribosomal RNA, internal transcribed spacer 2, and large subunit ribosomal RNA
Source: RNAcentral
AACUGAUACUACCUGCGGGAACCUGCGGAAGGAUCAUUACUGAGUGCGGGCCCUCUGGGUCCAACCUCCCACCCGUGUCUAUCGUACCUUGUUGCUUCGGCGGGCCCGCCGCCUGGCCGCCGGGGGGCCUCCGCCCCCGGGCCCGCGCCCGCCGAAGACACCACCGAACGCUGUCUGAAGAUUGUCGUCUGAGCGAUUAGCGAAAUUAGUUAAAACUUUUAACAAUGGAUCUCUAGAUCG